Molecule: ribosomal RNA, 488 nt
Filed under: uncultured bacterium
Lineage: Bacteria
Description: bacterial SSU rRNA
Rfam family: Bacterial small subunit ribosomal RNA
Source: RNAcentral
UAGUCCACGCUGUAAACGAUGAUCACUCGAUAUGCGUCUUCCGAGAUGCGUGUCCAAGCGAAAGCGUUAAGUGAUCCACCUGGGGAGUACGUUCGCAAGAAUAAAACUUAAGGGAAUUGAUGGGGUUUAGCACAAGCGGUGGAGCAUGUGAUUUAAUUCAAUACUACGUGAGGAACCUUACCUAGGCUAAAUGUAUAUUGACUCAUUCAGAAAUGAAUGUUUCCGAAAGGACAAUAUACAAGGUGCUGCAUGGCCGUCGUCAGUUCGUGCCGUGAGGUGUUUGGUUAAGUCCUAUAACGAACGCAACCCUCAUGCUUAGUUGCCAGCGCGUCACGGCGGGAACUUUAAGCAAACUGCCUGCGAAAGCAGUGAGGAAGGAGGGGACCAAGUCAGGUCAUCAUGGCCCUUAUGCCUAGGGCUAUACACGUGCUACAAUGGCAUGCACAGUGGGCAGCUACCUGGUAACAGGAUGCUAAUCUCUAAAACAU